AGUGAACGCUGGCGGUAGGCCUAACACAUGCGAGUCGAACGGCAGCACAGUAAGAGCUUGCUCUUACGGGUGGCGAGUGGCGGACGGGUGAGGAAUACAUCGGAAUCUACUUUUUCGUGGGGGAUAACGUAGGGAAACUUACGCUAAUACCGCAUACGACCUACGGGUGAAAGCAGGGGAUCUUCGGACCUUGCGCGAUUGAAUGAGCCGAUGUCGGAUUAGCUAGUUGGCGGGGUAAAGGCCCACCAAGGCGACGAUCCGUAGCUGGUCUGAGAGGAUGAUCAGCCACACUGGAACUGAGACACGGUCCAGACUCCUACGGGAGGCAGCAGUGGGGAAUAUUGGACAAUGGGCGCAAGCCUGAUCCAGCCAUACCGCGUGGGUGAAGAAGGACUUCGGGUUGUAAAGCCCUUUUGUUGGGAAAGAAAAGCAGCAGGUUAAUACCCCGCUGUUCUGACGGUACUCAAAGAAUAAGCACCGGCUAACUUCGUG
This 492-nucleotide ribosomal RNA is filed under the name uncultured bacterium. RNAcentral describes it as "partial 16S ribosomal RNA". It matches the Rfam family "Bacterial small subunit ribosomal RNA", at positions 29 to 507 of the family's 1533-position model. The record is from RNAcentral.